UGCCUGUACCAUAACCGACACAGGUGGGUAGGUAGAGUAUACUAAGGGGCGCGAGAUAACUCUCUCUAAGGAACUCGGCAAAAUGACUCCGUAACUUCGGGAGAAGGAGUGCCUUAUUUAUAAGGUUGCAAUAACAAGAUCCAAGCAACUGUUUAUCAAAAACACAGGUCUCCGCUAAGUCGUAAGACGAUGUAUGGGGGCUGACGCCUGCCCAGUGCCAGAAGGUUAAAGAAGUUGGUUAGUGUAUGCGAAGCUGAUGACUGAAGCCCUGUGAACGGCGGCCGUAACUAUAACGGUCCUAAGGUAGCGAAAUUCCUUGUCGGGUAAGUUCCGACCCGCACGAAAGGCGUAAUGAUUUGGAUACUGUCUCGGAGAGAGGCUCGGUGAAAUAGACUUGUCUGUGAAGAUGCGGACUACCUGCACCAGGACAGAAAGACCCUAUGAAGCUUUACUGUAACUUGAAAUUGGAAUUGGACUUUGCUUGCGCAGUAUAGGUGGGAAGCGUUGAAGAUAUUCUUGCGGGAGUAUUGGAGCUAUCAGUGAGAUACCACUCUUGUAAUGUUAGAUUUCUAACUUUGAACCAUAAUCUGGUCAAAGAACAGUUUCAGGUGGGCAGUUUGACUGGGGCGGUCGCCUCCCAAAUGGUAACGGAGGCGUACAAAGGUUUCCUCUGAACGGAUAGAAAUCGUAUCUAGAGUGUAAAGGCAUAAGGAAGCUUGACUGUGAGACCUACAAGUCGAGCAGGGACGAAAGUCGGUCUUAGUGAUCUGACGGUACUGAGUGGAAAGGCCGUCACUCAACGGAUAAAAGUUACUCUAAGGAUAACAGGCUGAUCUCCCCCAAGAGUUCACAUCGACGGGGAGGUUUGGCACCUCGAUGUCGGCUCAUCGCAUCCUGGGGCGGUAGUACGUCCCAAGGGUUGGGCUGUUCGCCCAUGAAAGCGGUACGCGAGCUGGGUUCAGAACGUCGUGAGACAGUUCGGUCCAUAUCCGGUGUAGGCGUUAGAAUAUUGAGAGGAGCCUUCUUUAGUACGAGAGGACCGAGAAGGACACACCGCUGGUGUACCAGUUAUCGUGCCAACGGUAAACGCUGGGUAGCUAUGUGUGGAGUGGAUAACCGCUGAAAGCAUCUAAGUGGGAAGCCCACCUCAAGAUGAGUAUUCUCAUCACUAUAAGUGAGUAAGGUCACGGUAAGACUAACCGUUUGAUAGGCAUUAAGUGUAAAUGUAGUAAUGCAUGUGCUGAGAUGUCCUAACAGACCGAGGAC
This 1266-nucleotide ribosomal RNA is filed under the name metagenome. RNAcentral's name for it is "bacterial LSU rRNA". It matches the Rfam family "Bacterial large subunit ribosomal RNA", at positions 1639 to 2925 of the family's 2925-position model. The record is from RNAcentral.